GUUCUCGUAGUUGAAACACAACGGUGAUUUUUCAUGUCAUUGGUCGUGGGUACCAUCCAUGCGAGAAUA
Molecule: transfer RNA, 69 nt
Filed under: Murina shuipuensis
Lineage: Eukaryota; Metazoa; Chordata; Mammalia; Chiroptera; Vespertilionidae
Description: tRNA-Glu
Source: RNAcentral